This 407-nucleotide ribosomal RNA is filed under the name Theileria cervi. Its description in RNAcentral is "SSU rRNA". It matches the Rfam family "Eukaryotic small subunit ribosomal RNA", at positions 539 to 982 of the family's 1831-position model. Lineage: Eukaryota; Apicomplexa; Aconoidasida; Piroplasmida; Theileriidae. The record is from RNAcentral.
GAGUAUCAAUUGGAGGGCAAGUCUGGUGCCAGCAGCCGCGGUAAUUCCAGCUCCAAUAGCGUAUAUUAAAAUUGUUGCAGUUAAAAAGCUCGUAGUUGAAUUUCUGCUGCAUCGCCUUUUCUCCUUUACGAGUUUUGGCAUUGUGGCUUAUUUCGGAUUUGCUUGCAUUUCCGAAUGUUUACUUUGAGAAAAUUAGAGUGCUCAAAGCAGGCUUUUGCCUUGAAUAGUUUAGCAUGGAAUAAUAAAGUAGGACUUUGGUUCUAUUUUGUUGGUUUUAGGUACCAAAGUAAUGGUUAAUAGGAACAGUUGGGGGCAUUCGUAUUUAACUGUCAGAGGUGAAAUUCUUAGAUUUGUUAAAGACGAACUACUGCGAAAGCAUUUGCCAAGGAUGUUUUCAUUAAUCAAGA